AUAUUAACUGCUAGAGGUAUCUUGGCAUAAUGAUCAACAUUGAUAAUAAGAACAUGUCCAAUAACAAACCUAUCUUUGGAUAAAUUUUAUUAUUGACAUGUAAAACCUUAUAAUUAUCACACGAUACCAUCACAGGUGCGUAUACAAUCUGGCCAAAUAUUAAUCUUCCUUUGGGCUGACCAAUACUCGCAUGACAAUAUAUAAACACGAACAUUCAUAAUUUCUCUAUGAACUACUCCAAAUAAAAAAAAUACUCACUUUGGUGAUUUCUUAAUUAUCAAUAACUCACAAAAAAAUUAUAAAUAAGACCAAUAUUUAAAUUUUAUUUAUUCCUCAAUAAUUAUUAAUUUUAUCCAAUGACCCA
This 364-nucleotide long non-coding RNA is filed under the name Vigna radiata. Its description in RNAcentral is "long non-coding RNA (VRAD_LNC006028)". Lineage: Eukaryota; Viridiplantae; Streptophyta; Magnoliopsida; Fabales; Fabaceae. The record is from RNAcentral.